UUCGUGAAGGGGAAUAAAUUCCGGA
RNAcentral lists this non-coding RNA (25 nucleotides) under Trieres chinensis. Lineage: Eukaryota; Bacillariophyta; Thalassiosirophyceae; Eupodiscales; Parodontellaceae. The record is from RNAcentral.